AAAAUUAUACUUCCAGGGGUCAUUUCUACAGUUCAUUUCUAGAGAAAUUUCUCUAAAUGGAUGGAAAAAGAAAACAGGUAUGU
This 83-nucleotide small nucleolar RNA is filed under the name Neotoma lepida (desert woodrat). Its description in RNAcentral is "Small nucleolar RNA U3". It matches the Rfam family "Small nucleolar RNA U3", at positions 1 to 82 of the family's 219-position model. From Rfam's summary of the family: Small nucleolar RNAs (snoRNAs) are involved in the processing and modification of rRNA in the nucleolus. There are two main classes of snoRNAs: the box C/D class, and the box H/ACA class. Lineage: Eukaryota; Metazoa; Chordata; Mammalia; Rodentia; Cricetidae. The record is from Rfam by way of RNAcentral.